UUUUCAGUAACGCUUCCAAGAUCUGUAUGGUUUUCAUUUUUGGAUCCAGAUUUUAUUUCUACUCAUUUUGUUUCGAGUAUUUUGUUUCAAAUUAUAUUUACAUUGGCUUGGGUUCAGUUUUCUCUCCGGUUUCGAAACCAUCACCUAAUAACAUGAAGACUUUGACCGGUAAAUUACUGUUACGAAGUUCGGAAGGGCUAUAUUCAAGUUAUCGUUCCAGUUACUACAUACUGGUUUUAAAAGGUUUCAUGAUGUUUAAUGAUGAGUGUUCUUAUUGAGUAUGAUU
This 286-nucleotide long non-coding RNA is filed under the name Lathyrus oleraceus (garden pea). RNAcentral's name for it is "Pisum sativum (pea) long non-coding RNA (PSAT_LNC028275)". The record is from RNAcentral. Lineage: Eukaryota; Viridiplantae; Streptophyta; Magnoliopsida; Fabales; Fabaceae.